This 550-nucleotide ribosomal RNA is filed under the name uncultured bacterium. RNAcentral describes it as "bacterial SSU rRNA". It matches the Rfam family "Bacterial small subunit ribosomal RNA", at positions 355 to 896 of the family's 1533-position model. The record is from RNAcentral.
UAGGGAAUCUUCGGCAAUGGACGGAAGUCUGACCGAGCAACGCCGCGUGAGUGAAGAAGGUUUUCGGAUCGUAAAGCUCUGUUGUAAGAGAAGAACGAGUGUGAGAGUGGAAAGUUCACACUGUGACGGUAUCUUACCAGAAAGGGACGGCUAACUACGUGCCAGCAGCCGCGGUAAUACGUAGGUCCCGAGCGUUGUCCGGAUUUAUUGGGCGUAAAGCGAGCGCAGGCGGUUAGAUAAGUCUGAAGUUAAAGGCUGUGGCUUAACCAUAGUAGGCUUUGGAAACUGUUUAACUUGAGUGCAAGAGGGGAGAGUGGAAUUCCAUGUGUAGCGGUGAAAUGCGUAGAUAUAUGGAGGAACACCGGUGGCGAAAGCGGCUCUCUGGCUUGUAACUGACGCUGAGGCUCGAAAGCGUGGGGAGCAAACAGGAUUAGAUACCCUGGUAGUCCACGCUGUAAACGAUGAGUGCUAGGUGUUAGACCCUUUCCGGGGUUUAGUGCCGUAGCUAACGCAUUAAGCACUCCGCCUGGGGAGUACGACCGCAAGGNUG